Molecule: long non-coding RNA, 249 nt
Organism: Micropterus dolomieu (smallmouth bass)
Lineage: Eukaryota; Metazoa; Chordata; Actinopteri; Centrarchiformes; Centrarchidae
Exons: 3
Source: RefSeq, a predicted model, not a curated record
ACAAUCUGAAAGACAUUCAAGGUUACCAUUGCAUCUUUAGGUUGUAGACUCCAGUAGCCACAGUGAGGAGCUCUGUCUGCCAGCCCUGGUCUCUGCUUUGGCUCUGCUCCCAUACUGGCCAUAGCAACACUCCAGUCUCCUGCCAUAGCGACACACACCUGCUUGGUUUCCAGUAAGGACUUGUCGGUAGUGCCUUUUUAGAACAAGAGAGGAGUAGAAGGUAAGAUGUGUAAUUUCACUGUCUCAAAA